CUGGGCUACAGUGAUCCUCUUCUGUCAGCCUCCUGAGUAGCUGGGACCACAGGUGCACGCCAACAUGCCGGGAUCAUUUUUUUUUUUUUUUUUUUUUUUACAAUAGGCCUUCAGCUGGAUUCAUUUAUUUUGAAAUGGUGGACAACCGCAGCUGCAGACCUCAAUCUAUGGUACAUAUCAAGCAAUGCAACUUUUUCUUGUCAUGUCAUGACUUUUGUCUGCUUCUUGGGAGCACUUCCACCAUCAUUAGUAGCACUUGAUAUGGGUCCCAUGAUAUUAUUCAAAUUAUUUACUGUAUUGUGCUAAACAUGAUGGAAAAUAUGGAACUGCUAGAGAACACUUUUUACUGUGAUACACAAUUGACUGGAGAGAUGAACUGCUCAUUUGAAGAUGAUUAGCGUCACGUGGCAUUUUAAGUGAAUACUCCCAACCCUUGAGCUCAUCACAAUGGCAACAGAAGGUGGCUACAAAAUUAUCAGUCGUACAGUAUGUACUACAGUUAAUUUUAUACAGUUAUGAUUUCAUACUGCAUCUUUAUCUCUGUUUACAUUUCUCUGGACUGUGAAUGGCGUCACGUAGUCUGUGUGCAAAUUGUUUUGAUAAAUUAUAAUUAAAAAAAACUUGUGUAUAUUUUAUGGUAGUAAAUGAUAAAAUGC
RNAcentral lists this long non-coding RNA (656 nucleotides) under Homo sapiens (human). RNAcentral's name for it is "non-protein coding lnc-MTMR2-4:1". The record is from RNAcentral. Lineage: Eukaryota; Metazoa; Chordata; Mammalia; Primates; Hominidae.